GCAGAAGUGGCGGAACUGGCAGACGCGCCAGAUUUAGGUUCCAGUGAGGAAACUCGUAGGGGUUCGAUUCCCCUCUUUUGCA
Molecule: transfer RNA, 82 nt
Filed under: Planctomycetia bacterium
Lineage: Bacteria; Pseudomonadati; Planctomycetota; Planctomycetia
Description: tRNA-Leu
Rfam family: tRNA
About the family: Transfer RNA (tRNA) molecules are approximately 80 nucleotides in length. Their secondary structure includes four short double-helical elements and three loops (D, anti-codon, and T loops). Further hydrogen bonds mediate the characteristic L-shaped molecular structure. tRNAs have two regions of fundamental functional importance: the anti-codon, which is responsible for specific mRNA codon recognition, and the 3' end, to which the tRNAs corresponding amino acid is attached (by aminoacyl-tRNA synthetases). tRNAs cope with the degeneracy of the genetic code in two manners: having more than one tRNA (with a specific anti-codon) for a particular amino acid; and 'wobble' base-pairing, i.e. permitting non-standard base-pairing at the 3rd anti-codon position.
Source: RNAcentral